UCCGAUAUGGUGUAGUGGUUAACAUUCGGCACUCUCGAGCAGAGCAGAUGCUGGGCCCGGGGUUCGAUUCCCCGUAUCGGAA
Molecule: transfer RNA, 82 nt
Organism: Gaeumannomyces graminis
Lineage: Eukaryota; Fungi; Ascomycota; Sordariomycetes; Magnaporthales; Magnaporthaceae
Rfam family: tRNA
About the family: Transfer RNA (tRNA) molecules are approximately 80 nucleotides in length. Their secondary structure includes four short double-helical elements and three loops (D, anti-codon, and T loops). Further hydrogen bonds mediate the characteristic L-shaped molecular structure. tRNAs have two regions of fundamental functional importance: the anti-codon, which is responsible for specific mRNA codon recognition, and the 3' end, to which the tRNAs corresponding amino acid is attached (by aminoacyl-tRNA synthetases). tRNAs cope with the degeneracy of the genetic code in two manners: having more than one tRNA (with a specific anti-codon) for a particular amino acid; and 'wobble' base-pairing, i.e. permitting non-standard base-pairing at the 3rd anti-codon position.
Source: Rfam